CACCUUGUUGGCCAUAAGUGGUGAGCUGGAUGUGUCACCACUCUCCCGCUCCUUCUGGUGUGAGGCCAGCAGGGCCACAGCGUAGCCCACGUCGUGACUCAGGAGCCACUUGAAGAAUGCAAGGCACCGGCUGGAUGGUGUUGAAGGCACUGGAGAAGUCAAAGAACAUGAUCCUCACAGUGCUGCCGGGCUUCUCUAGGUGAGAAAGAGCUCGAUGUAGGAGGAAGAUGACGGCGUCGUCUGCUCCUAUGCCGUGUCGGUAGGCGAACUGCAGCGGGUCCAGGUAGGUUCCCACCGCAGAGCGGAGGUGACCCAGGACCAGUCUCUCCGGUGUCUUCAUCAGGGGUGAUGUCAGAGCCACUGGUCUGAAGCUGCUGGGGUCUUUGGCGUGCGGUGUCUUGGGCACUGGUACCACGCAGGAGGUCUUCCAGAGCUGUGGUACCACCCUCAGCUUGAGGCUCAGGUUGAGGACAUGCUCCAUAACUCCACACAAUUCGCCUGCGCAGGACUUGAGGAGUCUGGAGCUGAUGCCGUCUGGUCCAGCUGCUUUCCUGGCCUUGAUCUUCCUGAGCUCACUUCUCACCUGGGUGCUGGAGAAGGAUAGGGGUUGAGGGAGUGUCUCAGUGUGGUGUGAAGUGAGGGGGUGUUGUUGGUAUGAGUCGCCAGUCGUCAGGGCUGAGGGUAGAGGGCUUUGUGUAAAGGUGUGAAGGGCUGUGGGGGCUGGUAAUCCUGUGGUAUGAGGUGACAAAAGGUUUGGAGGCAGCUGCUGGGAGGUGUGAGUGGGUGCUUGGUCAAACCUAUUAAAGUAUGAGUUCAGCUCGUUGACCCAGUUCGGGUCCCCCUCAGCCUGUGGAUGUGGAGCUUUGAAGCCUGACAUGGUUUUCAGGCUCCUCCACACCUCACUGACAUUGUUCUGCUGCAGCUGCUCCUCCUUCUUCCUCCUGUAGCUGGACUUCCCCUCACGGAUUUUCCUCCUCAGCUACAGGUCAGCAAGAAAGCAAAAGGUCAGUCUCAGCCAUCAUGUUGUGAAGACUUACUUUGGAACAUUUAAGAUGCUGCGUGUGUCCUUUCUCUUCUUCCAGAGACUGCGCCCUACAGAACCUCGCAGCGCAGAUGAAGGCACUCCCUAAAGUUGUGGGCUGUGAGCUGCCACCUACUUGGGAUUUGCUGGUUAUAGACGGACAUGGAUCUACUCUGCAGCUUGCAUUAUUACACGCCAAGCGUGUGUUUCACUGUUUGAUAAUGGAAGGGAACAAACUCAAUACUUGGUGGAGAAAACGUUGGCUGCAAUACAUCUGAAUCUGAGCUGUGAUAAAGAAAAAUAACGUGACAGCGGAUGAAGUUUGUUCCCGAGAACAGGAACAAAAAAACAGUUGUGAUUCUGAUGUUGGUAAUAACAUGAGAUGUAUUCAUUAGGUAAUACUACAGAAAAUGUCUUAUUAGCAAUAUGUUUCUUCAUAGUGUGAAUUUGAGGUUUGACUUGGAGUUUUGACAUGCUGCAUUUUUCACGCAGUCACUUUGGUUUUGACAUUAAUUUUGUCGAUUUGAUUCUGCUUCAAACAAAAGCUCUAAGAUUUGACCAAGAAUGGGUUUAGGUUUAUUGAAGACAUUUACACAGACACGUCUACUGAAGAAGUGGCAUAACUGUACUGUAGCUAAAUGUACAAUAGUACCAGUAGUUCCACUCCUCUAUUGUAGCUUUGACUUGUCUGUAGUUACAUUUCAAGUUUUUAUACAACAUUUGUUCUUCUUUAAAUGUUCUUUGUUUUUCUGGAAGUCCUGAUGAGAUUUGUACAAGCAGACUUGAAGCUACAGUACAACGUCUUAAUUUACAGAAGCCAACUGUGCGGCUCUUAGCCUCCUUCUACUACUUUGUUAUUGAGUGUGCUCGCUUUCUCCGUCACCUCCUGGUUUAAUUCCAUUAGCCUGCAAAGAAAGAAAUCUGUCGGGACCCCUCACAUCCUAAGUCCCAUGUUCCAGUGGCUCCCAUCAGGACACAGACUCCCUGAUGCAGGACCCAAAUAGGGGAAACACUGUAUUCCCAGCAGUAGUUAUCUAUGUGAAUGCUGUCCUGUACAAUGACGCUUUUAAUUGAUCUUAUUAGUAAUAUUAAUUUUCCUGGAUGCUUUUCCUUAAUUGGCCUUCAUGGAUAAAUAAUAGAGACAAAGUGUUUUAAAUUGAAUUGAUCAAUACAUUAUAAAUACCUGAAAUACUUAUGUACACAUUAUUCAAAGAAAUAAAUUAAAAACAAAUCUAUGUUGUGAAGUUCACGUCUGAAAAUAUGUCAGUUGUAUAAAAAACAUUUUGCCUUUUCCAACAACAAACGCUUGGCCCGACCGAGUCUAUCCCGUUGUUGACCGCAGCCAGUAUGGAAAGCAUAUGAACUACGCAGAUGUGCCACCUCAGCUGCAUCCAGGACCCGCCAUGUGUGCAGCUGCAGCUACUGUAUUAAUACUUAUUAUAACAAGAGGUGGUGUAAUUAGCUACUACUAUUCAAGUGACAAUAGAGAACUGAUAAAAUACUAAGCUGAAGCAAAUAAAUGAGACAGGUUUUGUUCAUUGGUCUGAAAGCCUGCCUUGUAAAUGCUUUUUUUCAUAAGUUUAUGUUUAAGUUUAUUUAACUUUUCACAACUGGAUCUCCUUAGAGUUGGACAAUAUUCCCCUUUUCUCCUAUUUGAACGUUAUUUUAAUCUCAGAUACUGUUAACGUGAUUUUACUUCUGUGCAAAUGUCUUUCUUUGACUCUAAUUUAUUUUACGAAUGACUUUGAAUUCUUGAAAGUCUUUGUUAAAACUUUACUUUUACGGUUAAACUUAAAACAGGGUUAAAAUUAGACUAUAGUACUACCCUAAAGCUGCUAAACCUAAACACUGGCUAUUGUUGUUGUUUUAAUUGUUGUUUAUUGUCUUUCUGUGACAUCACACAUGCUAGAAACAGACCAGAGUUAAACAAGUGACUAUAAUUAGCUGUGACUGUGUUACAAGGUGAAACACUGAGAAGAAUACGAGGUGGUGGAGCUUUUGUCUUUUCAGUCUGAUAAUGUUGGUGGCACAGGCUGCUACCAUGUUUUGAACUGUUUCUCUGCACGUUGUUUAUUGUAAAAUACAUUUAAAAAUGUGACUAACUCAUGUAAAUCACUAAACUCUACAGAUACGUU
This is a long non-coding RNA of Betta splendens (Siamese fighting fish), 3156 nucleotides long. RefSeq lists it as uncharacterized. The record is from RefSeq and is a predicted model, not a curated record. Lineage: Eukaryota; Metazoa; Chordata; Actinopteri; Anabantiformes; Osphronemidae. The transcript is spliced from 2 exons.